RNAcentral lists this ribosomal RNA (276 nucleotides) under Salmonella enterica subsp. enterica. RNAcentral describes it as "partial 23S ribosomal RNA". It matches the Rfam family "Bacterial large subunit ribosomal RNA", at positions 711 to 984 of the family's 2925-position model. Lineage: Bacteria; Pseudomonadati; Pseudomonadota; Gammaproteobacteria; Enterobacterales; Enterobacteriaceae. The record is from RNAcentral.
AGACCCGAAACCCGGUGAUCUAGCCAUGGGCAGGUUGAAGGUUGGGUAACACUAACUGGAGGACCGAACCGACUAAUGUUGAAAAAUUAGCGGAUGACCUGUGGCUGGGGGUGAAAGGCCAAUCAAACCGGGAGAUAGCUGGUUCUCCCCGAAAGCUAUUUAGGUAGCGCCUCGUGAAUUCAUCUCCGGGGGUAGAGCACUGUUUCGGCCAGGGGGCCAUCCCGGCUUACCAAUCCGAUGCAAACUGCGAAUACCGGAGAAUGUUAUCACGGGAGA